Molecule: ribosomal RNA, 468 nt
Filed under: uncultured bacterium
Lineage: Bacteria
Description: partial 16S ribosomal RNA
Rfam family: Bacterial small subunit ribosomal RNA
Source: RNAcentral
GACGAACGCUGGCGGCGUGCUUAACACAUGCAAGUCGAACGGAAAGGCCCUGCUUUUGUGGGGUGCUCGGGUGGCGAACGGGUGAGUAACACGUGAGUAACCUGCCCUUGACUUUGGGAUAACUUCAGGAAACGGGGGCUAAUACCGGAUAGGAGCUCCUGCUGCGUGGUGGGGGUUGGAAAGUUUCGGCGGUUGGGGAUGGACGCGCGGAUUAUCGGCUUGUUGGUGGGGUAGUGGCUUACCAAGUAUUUGACGGGUAGCCGGCCUGAGAGGGUGACCGGCCACAUUGGGACUGAGAGACGGACCAGAGUCCUACGGUGGGCAGCAGUGGGGAAUAUUGCACAAUGGGCGGGAGCCUGAUGCAGCAGCGCCGCGUGCGGGAUGACGUCCUUCGGGUUGUAAACCGCUUUCGCCUGUGACGAAGCGUGAGUGACGGUAAUGGGUAAAGAAGCACCGGCUAACUACGUG